RNAcentral lists this ribosomal RNA (422 nucleotides) under uncultured archaeon. RNAcentral's name for it is "bacterial SSU rRNA". It matches the Rfam family "Archaeal small subunit ribosomal RNA", at positions 459 to 881 of the family's 1478-position model. The record is from RNAcentral.
CAGCCGCCGCGGUAAAACCAGCACCUCAAGUGGUCAGGAUGAUUAUUGGGCCUAAAGCAUCCGUAGCCCGUUUUGUAAGUUUUCGGUUAAAUCCAUGCGCUUAACGUAUGGGCUGCCGGGAAUACUGCAUAACUAGGAAGUGGGAGAGGUAGACGGUACUCGGUAGGAAGGGGUAAAAUCCUUUGAUCUAUUGAUGACCACCUGUGGCGAAGGCGGUCUACCAGAACACGUUCGACGGUGAGGGAUGAAAGCUGGGGGAGCAAACCGGAUUAGAUACCCGGGUAGUCCCAGCUGUAAACUAUGCAAACUCAGUGAUGCAUUGGCUUAUGGCCAAUGCAGUGCUGCAGGGAAGCCGUUAAGUUUGCCGCCUGGGAAGUACGUACGCAAGUAUGAAACUUAAAGGAAUUGGCGGAGGAGCACCA